UAAUAUCGGAUAACGCAUAUGUGCAGGGAAUGCUUUAUGCGUAAAACGGAUUCGUCCGCCCAAGGAUGGGUCUGCGGCCUAUCAGGUAGUAGUGGGUGUAACGGACCCACUAGCCAGUGACGGGUAUGGGCCUUGAGAGAGGGAGCCCAGAGAUGGAUUCUGAGACACGAAUCCAGGCCCUACGGGGCGCAGCAGUCGCGAAAACUUUACAAUGCGGGAAACCGUGAUAAGGGAACACCGAGUGCCAGCAUCAUAUGCUGGCUGUCCAGAUGUGUAAACUACAUCUGUUAGCAAGGGCCGGGCAAGACCGGUGCCAGCCGCCGCGGUAACACCGGCGGCCCGAGUGGUGACCGUUAUUAUUGGGUCUAAAGGGUCCGUAGCCGGUUUGGUCAGUCCUCCGGGAAAUCUGAUAGCUUAACUGUUAGGCUUUCGGGGGAUACUGCCAGGCUUGGAACCGGGAGAGGUAAGAGGUACUACAGGGGUAGGAGUGAAAUCUUGUAAUCCCUGUGAGACCACCUGUGGCGAAGGCGUCUUACCAGAACGGGUUCGACGGUGAGGGACGAAAGCUGGGGGCACGAACCGGAUUAGAUACCCCGGUAGUCCAGGGUGUAACGCUGCAGACUUGGUGU
This 629-nucleotide ribosomal RNA is filed under the name uncultured archaeon. RNAcentral describes it as "bacterial SSU rRNA". It matches the Rfam family "Archaeal small subunit ribosomal RNA", at positions 147 to 774 of the family's 1478-position model. The record is from RNAcentral.